CGGGGAGUGGCGCAGUCUGGUAGCGCAUCUGCUUUGGGAGCAGAGGGUCGCUGGUUCGAAUCCAGUCUCCCGACCA
Molecule: transfer RNA, 76 nt
Filed under: Defluviicoccus sp.
Lineage: Bacteria; Pseudomonadati; Pseudomonadota; Alphaproteobacteria; Rhodospirillales; Rhodospirillaceae
Description: tRNA-Pro
Rfam family: tRNA
About the family: Transfer RNA (tRNA) molecules are approximately 80 nucleotides in length.
Source: RNAcentral